CCUACGGGAGGCAGCAGUGGGGAAUAUUGGACAAUGGGCGAAAGCCUGAUCCAGCAAUGCCGCGUGAGUGAUGAAGGCCUUAGGGUUGUAAAGCUCUUUUACCAGGGAUGAUAAUGACAGUACCUGGAGAAUAAGCUCCGGCUAACUCCGUGCCAGCAGCCGCGGUAAUACGGAGGGAGCUAGNGUUGUUCGGAAUUACUGGGCGUAAAGCGUACGUAGGCGGUUAUUCAAGUCAGAGGUGAAAGCCUGGAGCUCAACUCCAGAACUGCCUUUGAAACUAGGUAGCUAGAAUCACGGAGAGGUUAGUGGAAUUCCGAGUGUAGAGGUGAAAUUCGUAGAUAUUCGGAAGAACACCAGUGGCGAAGGCGACUAACUGGACGUGUAUUGACGCUGAGGUACGAAAGCGUGGGGAGCAAACAGGAUUAGAUACCCUGGUAGUCCACGCCGUAAACGAUGAUAACUAGCUGUUCGGUCUCUACGAGACUGAGUGGCGCAGCUACGACAUAAGUUAUCCGUCCGUCGGGAGGUACGGUCGCGAGAAGUUAAACGUUAAAGGUAAAGUUAAGUACGGUCGUUGAGUACGUUGCGAACGGACGACGACGAGGGAGGAGG
Molecule: ribosomal RNA, 612 nt
Filed under: uncultured bacterium
Lineage: Bacteria
Description: bacterial SSU rRNA
Rfam family: Bacterial small subunit ribosomal RNA (bases 1-517)
Source: RNAcentral